GAAAGACCCAAAAUCCCCACUGGCCGUGGACAAGGAUACCACAAUAACCGUGGUGGUAGAUCCAAUCAUGGCCGAGGAAGGAGUAAAGGUCGAAAUGGCAUUACAAGCCACAUCAAAAUGGUUUCUAUAAUAAACCAAUGCGCAAAGCAAAAGGAAAUGUCCCUUUAGCUUAUGAAAAUCGCCAAAGGCAUAUAUAUAAGAGAGGUCGAGACUACAUUCUCCCUACUGAUCUAAUACUAUGCUAAGGAUCAGUGUGAUAAGGCAUAAAAGCCUAGGUAACCAGUAAGGUUCACCAACAAAUUUAUACACUUUAUGGCAUGACCGGAUUAGCCAUCCUGGUCCGAACUUUAUGCAAAGUUUAAAAUUACUAAGGCACAAAGAGUUAUCCCAUAAGAUUUCACGUUGUGAAACAUGUACACAAAGAAAACUCAGUAGGCUUCAUUGUUCCAAGCAACACGAAAGUAUAAUCUGAUCAUAAGGGUAGUGAGGACAAAACCCGUGAUCAUGACCAGACCACAAAUUCGUGUAUCAUGGUCUAAAACCAUGCUGGCCGUCCAAGCAUUACGUUUAAGUGAGGACAAACAAACGUAUUUUAUAGCAUGUUCAUGAGGGGAGAAUAAACACUCCAUGUGGUCCAUGACCAUACUAUAAAACCCGAACAUGAUAAGCCUGGCCGAAGGCCAUAAGGCAUUAUAGCUUGGCCGUAUAAGGCAUAACCUAUAAGGUUGAGACUUCAAAAGAUAAGAUACAUCAUGAAUAAACCACCACAUACCUAUGCUUGAAAAAUAUUUUUUUUGAUUGACAAAUGAGAAUGAAAACAUGAGAAGAGUAUGUCUAGAUCACCAUGCCUAAGGCAUGGCCUUAAGAGGCAGGAAAUUUAUCACCUAAGACCCAUUGAGAAAGACCCAAAAUCCCCACUGGCCGUGGACAAGGAUACCACAAUAACUGUGGUUGUAGAUCCAAUCAUGGCCGAGGAGGGAGUAAAGGUCGAAAUGGCAUUACAAGCCACAUCAAAAUGGUUUCUAUAAUAAACCAAUGGGCAAAGCAAAAGGAAAUGUUCCUUUUAGCUUAUAAAAUCGCCAAAGGCAUACAUAUAAAAGAGGUCGAGACUACAUUCUCCCUACUGAUCUAAUACUAUGCUAAGGAUCAGUGUGAUAAGGCAUAAAAGCCUAAGUAACCAGUACGGUUCACCAACAAAUUUAUACACUUUAUGGCAUGACCGGAUUAGCCGUCCUGGUCCGAACUUGAUGCAAAGUUCAAAAUUACUAAGGCACAAAGAGUUAUCCCAUAAGAUCUCACGUUGUGAAACAUGUACACAAGGGAAACUCAGUAGGUUUCAUUGUUCCAAGCAACACGAAAGUAUAAUCUGAUCAUGAGGGUAGUGAGGACAAAACCCGUGAUCAUGACCAGACUACAAAUUCGUGUAAAACCAUGCUGGCCGUCCAAGCAUUACGUUUAAGUGAGGACAAACAAACGUAUUUUAUAGCAUGUUCAUGAGGGGGAGAAUAAACACUCCUUGUGGUCCAUGACUAUACUAUAAAACCCGAACAUGAUAAGCCUGGCCGAAGGCCAUAAGGCAUUAUAGCUUGACCGUAUAAGGCAUAACCUAUAAGGUUGAGACUUCAAAAGUCUAUAAGCUUGGGUACACCACAAGAAUACAUGUAUGAAAGAUAAGAUACAUCAGGCCAUAUAAAGUGAGCAUAGAUAUUCCCGUCUAAAGAUGAUAAAGGGUCAUAAUCCAGAUAUAGACCAUCCUAAGAGUUUAUGAAUAAACCACCACAUACCUAUGUGUCAUCUAGGAUGGAAUACCUCAUCUAAGGAUGAGAUGAAAAUCGGGAAUAUAUGUUAGAUAAGAGAACAUGAUCUUUCUCCCACGAAUUCAAUGAGACCAUGAGCCAAACAAAGGUGAUCAUAUUGUGGCCAAGGUACACGGAUUACAUACAAGAUGAAUCCGACUAUCCAACAUCAUGGAGAAAGCUAUAAGCUGGUAAAUAGAAAGUGAAAGUGGAAUGGUUUUAACCAUCCAAGUCUUGGCAAAGAUCCUCGGACCAGAUAUAUAUGUACUGGACGUCCAUAAACAAAGAAAGAAUGAUAGCCAGACAGACCCGAAAGAAUGAUUAAGUCAUACCAGCUUAGCACCACUAUAUAAAUGUCCUAGUAGAGACAUAAUCAAGUUGCUAGAAGUCUAUACAAGAUAGACCAGUAUGUUCCAUAUACAAGGAACCUCGGAUAGAAAGAGAUAAGGUGCUCAUAAUGAUAGAUCCGGGUUCAUGAAAGAGAAACCAUACUAGACAAUGAGAUAAGACCGGCCAGUCCUAAGGUACAGGUAUCAUACAAUGUAGCCUUGCAAACUACAAAGUAUUCAAUGAUCCUGAUAAUAAUAAAAUCUCAAUCGAUUGUAUCAUGUCUAGAACGCGAUAGAACGCGAUGGAACAUUAUAUAAGGUGUCGACACAUAAACACACUCAUAAGUGAUAAAGAGAAAGCACUUGAGCAUAAGAGAUAUGUGAGGAUCACUAACCCACGUAAGAGUACUCAUCAUAGAGAAAUGAAUGGGACGUGGAGUUAUAGUAAAGAAUGUAUAUGAUGGGCGUAUUGGCCAAAUACAUAAGAUAGACGCCAUCUAACCAGUGAACAGAUGAGUCUUGUGAGGAAAAGAAAAUCGUGAGCUGUAGAACAUGAAAGUACAGACAAGUGGUCGUACAUGUUGCUACAUAAAGCAUUCAAAAGGAAUGGCUUGAUCACACAAGGAUACUCACAGGGACUAAGGAACAAGGAAAUGAAUUCCUAGGUGGUGAAUGCUACUACCCAAUAUCGAAAUUAAUAAAGAUUUGAACAUCUAAGGAAGAUGUAGUAGACAUUGGAUAUAUCACUGGAUAUAAAGGUAACAUAAGAUACCUUGAGAAAUGAGAAAGAAGUUCUCAUAGAACAACAUCGUUCCUGGGUUUUUCAUGGACUGAAAUGCAGCUGCAUGCGUGUAUGUACACACGAUAUGAUAAGACUAAGUGAUGCUUAGUAGAAAGUUCUAUAAGAACGUUUCUGAUCAGUCCAUAUAGUAGUCAAUAUAUUUCUUGUGUUUAUACUUAAAGAAAGGAUGAUUAAGAUGAUUGAUUCUUGGAAAGGCUAUGAAGAGACUACGAUGAUCUAUAGUAGAGAUCAUUAGCCGUAUAUGAAUGUUGGGAUCUAUGAUCCAACGUACCAAGAAUAGAUUGAUCAAAUGGUCUGAGAAUCCAUCAGAUUCACGACCAAAGGGAACCAUACCGACUAGGAUCAUGUCCGACCUAGUUCGACCUUAAUCAUCAUUGGUCCCGACCAGUCCGUCCCGUCCAGCUCGUUCCGACCAGUUCCCUUAGGUCUUAAACCGACCAGAAUCGUCCGAACUGUGGACAUAUACUAAAAGGUUCAUGAAGAGUUUUUUUGUCAAAGGUUAUGAACGAGAUACAUAGUGGACGAGGACAUAAUCCGGAUGGAUUAUGGACGAGAGCAUGAUCCGCACAGAUCAGCAGUGGACAUGAACAUAAUCCGGAUGGAUUAUGGAUGAUGUCAUGAUCCGAACAGAUCAUGGACAUACAAAGACAUUCAUGGUCGAAUUUAUCUAAGAGAGAUAAACCAUAUGAUUCGAAUGGACCAUGAAUAUCAUGAAAGCAUUUUGCUGAUGCAGGUUACCAAUCCGACCCACACAGUGCUAAGUCCCAAACCGGCUACGUUUUCACAUAUGGAGGCACGGUCAUUUCAUGGAGAUCAGUCAAGCAGAUCAUAUCAGCCACAUCAUCCAAUCACUCGGAAAUAUUGGCAAUCCGUGAAGCAAGUAGAGAGUGUGUCUGGUUGAGACUCAUGACACACCAUAUUCGGACAGCAUGUGGGAUAUGGUAAGGAUGGGCUGACCAUUCUUUAUGAAGACAAUGCGGCCUGCAUAGCUCAGCUCAAGGAUGGAUACAUCAAGGGUGACAAGACUAAGCACGUUCUCCCCAAGUUCUUCUUCACCCAUGAUCAACAGAAGGAAGGAGAGGUCAAGGUACUCCAAAUCAGAUCAAGCGAGAACUCAGCCGACCUCUUCACUAAGGCAUUACCAACAUGCACACUCAGGAAGCUUAUGCAGCAGAUUGGUAUGCGAUCACUGAGAAGCCUUCAGUGAUGUUCACUUCAGGGGGAGUAAUGCGGCUGUACUCUUUUUUCUAUCCAUGGCUUCCCGUUUUUACCACAUUGGAUUUUUUGGGUUUACCAUGGAAAGGUUUUAACGAGGCAGUAUACCAAACGCAUUACAAACUCUAGAUGGUUAUGGCAUUCAGGGGGAGUGUUGUAAACCAGAUGGUUUAUGGACUGCUCAUAACCAGAUGGUCGAGGUUACACUUAACCGAGAUUGUAUUAAACCGAGAUUGUAUUAAACCCAAUCAAAUGUUAAUGGUUUAUUUAUUUAAUAUGGGCCGAUUUCUCUUAAGUUUUUUAAGAGAAUCCCACAUUACUUAUGAGACUUGUAAUAGACGGCCUAAGCUCCAUAUAUAAGGAGCCUCUUGUUUUUGACAUUGAAUAACACAACAACACCUUCACAUCUUAUUUAUAACAAUCACACAAUAUUCAUAACAAGUAUGAAUUAUUCUAUAAUUCUCAUAAUGGCCCAUAUUUCUCAAAAAUCUAAUUUCUAGGUUGUGUUGAUGGAGUUAAGAAAAGGUUAAAUAUGAUGAAUCUAUAAAAUUUAUAUUUUAGUUAUAUAUUGGGCGGCAAUUGUCCAUAAUAGCACCUUUUAAGUUUUAUAUCCCAAAAAUAGCACUAGAAGGGGAAAGUCACAAAAAUAGCAUUUAUUAAUGGGCAAAAUGACUUUAGUACUCUUGUUAUAUAAUUAAUUAAAAAAAACAUAAAAAACCUCUCUCUCUCACGCGAAGAAGCGACCGACGGCUCCCUCUCUCUCACGCGACGGCGGCGACGGUCUUCUCUCGAUCUCUUCGACGCGGCAGCGGCGACGCGAAGAAGUGACGGUUCCCUCUCUCUCAUGCGACGGCGGUGACAGUCUCCAAAGCAACUCUGCCUUAUUGUAGGUUUUACUUAAUAGAAAGUGGAUUGGCUCUAAAUCUCUAAUGGUAGCCUUUCUCAUAAACGUCUCUGUGAUAUCAGAUAUAUAAAUGCUGGGAUUUCAUCCGUGAGGGGGAAGGGGGAGACCCUUCUAAUAAUCAAGAUGAUGUUCUCUGUGAUUUGGGGCCAUCGUAACCGUUCCAGAAGAGCAAGACCCGAUUCCGGUCCCUUCAACGUCUCUAGUCACUCGAAAGCCGCCGAAGCCUCAUGAACGGUCGUCGGAGCUGGUGAGAAUCACCGACGUCGGGUCCGACGGAGAGAGACAGUUCCGAGAGGUCGUGAGGAAGACGAAGAUUGAGAUUUUUUAAUUUUUUAUUUAAUUAAUUAGAAAAAGGGGCAUAAGAGUAAAUGAUCUUAUCAAAUGAAACCUAUUUUUGUGAUUUUUGAUCUUGGGUGCUAGUUUGGGAACAAAAACUUGGUUUAGUGCUAUUUUUGUCAUUUUCUCUUUGCUAUUCGGGUAUUUUCAGGUUCUUUUAUAUCAAAAGCGAAUCCAUCCGAACCCGGGAAGACCCGACUCGGAAUUUUGUGAUACUCGAGCGGAAUUUAAUUUUCAAAUCCAAAAGACCCGAUAUUCAAAAGAACCAAUCGUAGCCGACGGAUAUCCGAAUGCCUAGACCUAUUAAAAAGAUAACAAAAUCAAUAAUCUCAUCCCGUGUAAGGCACGGGUUAUUACCUAGUUAGUUAUUACGGAAGAUGACGGAGAUUUGUUAUAGUUCAUAACUUCCAUUAAAGUAACCAAGUCUUUUCAGAAAUGUUAUCGAUACGAGAACUACAUAUGGUUUAUGUUCGUUAUGAAUAAAAUAUUUUUGAGGAUUAUGAAUUUAACUUCAUUAUCGUCUCUAGAUUCUGCUAAAGUUUCUGUAACAUCCCGAGUUGUGAUAUACGGAAAUGCUUAAGAGAAUUGAUUUGGCUACCUAUGUCACCAAAGUUGACUUACCUUUUCCGGAGCACAUUCUGAAAGAACUUUAGAGUUAAGCGUGCUUGAGCUGGAGUAGUGGAAGGAUGGGUGACCUAUCGGGAAGUGAUUCGCGAUAGCG
Long non-coding RNA from Raphanus sativus (radish), 6103 nucleotides. RefSeq lists it as uncharacterized. The transcript has 3 exons. The record is from RefSeq and is a predicted model, not a curated record. NCBI's taxonomy places the organism in Eukaryota, Viridiplantae, Streptophyta, Magnoliopsida, Brassicales, Brassicaceae.